This 448-nucleotide ribosomal RNA is filed under the name uncultured bacterium. Its description in RNAcentral is "bacterial SSU rRNA". It matches the Rfam family "Bacterial small subunit ribosomal RNA", at positions 355 to 825 of the family's 1533-position model. The record is from RNAcentral.
UGGGGAAUCUUGGACAAUGGGCGCAAGCCUGAUCCAGCCAUGCCGCGUGAGUGAUGAAGGCCCUAGGGUUGUAAAACUCUUUCGUGGGGGACGAUAAUGACGGUACCCCAAGAAGAAGCUCCGGCUAACUUCGUGCCAGCAGCCGCGGUAAUACGAAGGGGGCUAGCGUUGUUCGGAUUUACUGGGCGUAAAGGGCGCGUAGGCGGCAAUUCAAGUCAUCUGUGAAAUCUCCGGGCUUAACUCGGAACGGUCAGAUGAUACUGCUUUGCUAGAGUGCAGAAGGGGCAAUCGGAAUUCUUGGUGUAGCGGUGAAAUGCGUAGAUAUCAAGAGGAACACCUGAGGUGAAGACGGGUUGCUGGGCUGACACUGACGCUGAGGCGCGAAAGCCAGGGGAGCAAACAGGAUUAGAUACCCCCUGUAGUCCCUGAGCGGGCUGGCAAGGCGCAU